Molecule: ribosomal RNA, 253 nt
Filed under: uncultured bacterium
Lineage: Bacteria
Description: partial 16S ribosomal RNA
Rfam family: Bacterial small subunit ribosomal RNA
Source: RNAcentral
UACGUAGGUGACGAGCGUUAUCCGGAAUUAUUGGGCGUAAAGCGCCCGCAGGCGGCUGUUCAAGUCUGACGUGAAAUCGCUCGGCUUAACUGGGCGGGGUCGUUGGAAACUGAAUAGCUUGAGGCAAGGAGAGGGGCGUGGAAUUCCCGGUGUAGUGGUGGAAUGCGUAGAUAUCGGGAGGAACAUCAGUGGCGCAAGCGGCGCCCUGGCCUUAGCCUGACGCUCAGGGGCGAAAGCGUGGGGAGCGAACAGG